UGGGGAAUCUUGCGCAAUGGGCGAAAGCCUGACGCAGCGACGCCGCGUGAGUGAUGAAGGCCUUCGGGUUGUAAAGCUCUGUGGGGAGAGAAGAAUAAGUGCGGGCUAAUACCCCGCAUGAUGACGGUAUCUCCUUAGCAAGCACCGGCUAACUCUGUGCCAGCAGCCGCGGUAAGACAGAGGGUGCAAACGUUGUUCGGAAUUACUGGGCGUAAAGCGAGUGUAGGCGGUUUGGUAAGUCGGAUGUGAAAGCCCCGGGCUCAACCCGGGAAGUGCAUUCGAUACUGCCAAGCUAGAGUAUCGGAGAGGUUGGUGGAAUUCUCGGUGUAGAGGUGAAAUUCGUAGAUAUCGGAAGGAACAUCGGUGGCGAAGGCGUCUACCUGGCCUAAUACUGACACUGAGGCACGAAAGCGUGGGGAGCAAACAGGAUUAGAUACCCUGGUAGUCCCUGAGCGGGCUGGCAAGGCGCAU
Molecule: ribosomal RNA, 471 nt
Filed under: uncultured bacterium
Lineage: Bacteria
Description: bacterial SSU rRNA
Rfam family: Bacterial small subunit ribosomal RNA
Source: RNAcentral